Molecule: ribosomal RNA, 402 nt
Filed under: Triticum aestivum (bread wheat)
Lineage: Eukaryota; Viridiplantae; Streptophyta; Magnoliopsida; Poales; Poaceae
Description: partial small subunit ribosomal RNA
Source: RNAcentral
AUGGUGGUAUGUAGAGACAAUGAAGGGCAUUAUGUUGGCGCGUCGGCUGUAAUAUUUGAUGGCCUAACUGAUCCUGCUGGUCUGGAAACUCUUGCCUGUAACGAGGCACUAGCGUUGGCCCAAGAUUUGAACCUGAGACGUGUGGUGAUGGGCUCGGAUUGCUUGGAGCUGAUUACUAAUAUUAACAAAGGAUCAGCAGCUAGAUAUGAAUCAGUUCUACAUGAAAUCACACAUCGACAGAAGGAAUUUGGCGAAGUAUGUUUCUGUUUUGAGCCUCGGGAAUCCAAUUUUGAAGCUCAUAUGUUUGCAAAGGCUGCAUCAUCUCUUACAAUCGAUCGCCAUUUGUGGCUAGGGAGAGUACCUGAUAUCAUUUGUAUUCCGUUUACUUUGAAUUAUGAAUAA